This is a long non-coding RNA of Mastomys coucha (southern multimammate mouse), 783 nucleotides long. RefSeq lists it as uncharacterized. Lineage: Eukaryota; Metazoa; Chordata; Mammalia; Rodentia; Muridae. The record is from RefSeq and is a predicted model, not a curated record. The transcript is spliced from 5 exons.
GAAUGAAGAGUUAAGGGGCUAUUUCAGAAACCCAGACAAAAGGUGAUGGAAAGUUGAAUCAGAGUGUGCCCAGUGAGACAUAGUGUAAUGAUAAUGCUGCAGUUUAGAGAGAUUCUCCAGAAACAGUAACAGAUGUUAGACGUUUAGCAUUCAAGUUUGCAUGAUCUUUCUCAAAAGAUGUUCUUUCCAAUGAACAAUGCUAUGGAGAAAAUACAGAGAGAUGCAGAUGGCUGGCCCAAGCUUCUCCACUAAAUGGCUCAGAAAAUAAAAAUGCAACAAUGAAGCAAAAGAUCGAACAAUAGGAAUCCUGUUGGUGAGCUUUUUCUGAUUCUGGUGAUGAUGCUGCUUCAUCAGAGCUUCAUGGACCCUGUGACGUACAUCCUCAUUCAGCUGGCCUGAGCUGACCUGCUGGUCAAGGACCAUAUCUGAAGACAGAAAGAAGAUAAGUACCCAUAGAAUGUGUUUGAUAACAAGGAACUAUAACUUUCAGACGUAGAAGGAAAGAUUUCAGAAGACUGAACUGAGUACAUUGAUAUUUGUCAUACACAUCAAGUGUGCCAAUGAAAUAAAUAACAGCAGGGUCUCGGCAUGCAUCUCUGGCUGGCCUGGAACUUACUGUGUAGGCCAAGUUGGCCUCAAACUCAGAGACCUGACCUCCUAUGCUAGGAUUAAAGAUGCGUGCUGUGUCGUCAACCUGGCAUGAACCUGAUUUCAAAUAACGCAUUCUCAAACUGGUCUUAACUUUGUAUUCAGUGGAGCCACUUAUUAAAUUUAUCCUUCAGU